ACUCCUACGGGAGGCAGCAGUGGGGAAUUUUGGACAAUGGGGGGAACCCUGAUCCAGCCAUGCCGCGUGCAGGAUGAAGGCCUUCGGGUUGUAAACUGCUUUUGUACGGAACGAAAAGGUCUUUUCUAAUAAAGAAGGCUGAUGACGGUACCGUAAGAAUAAGCACCGGCUAACUACGUGCCAGCAGCCGCGGUAAUACGUAGGGUGCGAGCGUUAAUCGGAAUUACUGGGCGUAAAGCGUGCGCAGGCGGUUAUGCAAGACAGAUGUGAAAUCCCCGGGCUCAACCUGGGAACUGCAUUAGUGACUGCAUAGCUAGAGUGCGGCAGAGGGGGAUGGAAUUCCGCGUGUAGCAGUGAAAUGCGUAGAUAUGCGGAGGAACACCGAUGGCGAAGGCAAUCCCCUGGGCCUGCACUGACGCUCAUGCACGAAAGCGUGGGGAGCAAACAGGAUUAGAUACCCUGGUAGUCCACGCCCUAAACGAUGUCAACUGGUUGUUGGGGAUUUACUUCCUCAGUAACGAAGCUAACGCGUGAAGUUGACCGCCUGGGGAGUACGGCCGCAAGGUUAAAACUCACAGGAAUUGACGGGGACCCGCACAAGCGGUGGAUGAUGUGGUUUAAUUCGAUGCAACGCGAAAAACCUUACCCACUUUUGACAUGUACUGAACAUCGCAUAGACGCGAUUGUGCUCUAAAGACAGCCGUAACACACCUGCUGCAU
Molecule: ribosomal RNA, 720 nt
Filed under: uncultured bacterium
Lineage: Bacteria
Description: bacterial SSU rRNA
Rfam family: Bacterial small subunit ribosomal RNA
Source: RNAcentral